UAGCUCAAGUUGUAGAGCACAUGCUUAGCAUGCAUGAGAUCCUGGGUUCAAUCCCCAG
This 58-nucleotide transfer RNA is filed under the name Camelus bactrianus (Bactrian camel). It matches the Rfam family "tRNA", at positions 8 to 63 of the family's 71-position model. Rfam says of the family: Transfer RNA (tRNA) molecules are approximately 80 nucleotides in length. Their secondary structure includes four short double-helical elements and three loops (D, anti-codon, and T loops). The record is from Rfam by way of RNAcentral. Lineage: Eukaryota; Metazoa; Chordata; Mammalia; Artiodactyla; Camelidae. RNAcentral also lists the same sequence under 2 other names.